ACAGGUGCUUCUGCUAAUCAUAUAACAUCACAUCAUCUGUUGUUUGAUAGACAUGGCACAGCAACUAUGAGAAUGUCAGGCAAUCAUGACUUGAUUGUGAUCUUUAAAUGUUCUCUCAAGUGUGGUUGUUUGAGUGUGUAACAGCAAGCACAGAUUAACUGUAAUGAAGUCACCUGGAAAAAGCUGUUGAAACUGCUAAAAGCAAGCAUUAAAAUUCAGCUAGUACUUGCAACCACUAAAUUAGAGAACAGCAUCCUAGAAGCUGUACUACUACUUGAAAGUAGGAUUCUCACUUGCUGAAGUGUUGUUGAAUAGAAAGCUUUAAAACCAGAAGGUUAGAAAAUCUUCAAAGACCAGGGAAGAUUUGUGUGUCAGUGUCAAGUAAACACAAAGAGACAAGUGUUCUCUUUUGAGGUUGCUUUUUAUUCCAGUGAGUAACUUCAAAGGCAGGGGCAUCCUAAUGCGAGGAGAAGGGAAUUGUCAGGACCUCUUCCAGAGAUGUGCUCUGGAUCUCAGUUUCACAACCCACCUGGCUAAGGAGGAGUGUUAAAAGAUGUUAAGAAGGGUGCUGGUUUUUUUCUUCCUCGUCAUCAAUCGUUUUUGUUUUAUUUCGUUGGCUGUACUGCACUACUUUUUGCAUAGUGUAACCGUGAGGUCAUUGUGAGGUUAAUUUAUUUCUCAUAAAGAUGAGCCCUUAGCAGAACACCACUGGCACAGAGGAACAGAAGUAACUGCUACUGCAGCAAUCCCCUGGACUGAAGAACAGAUUAUUUCUUCCUUCAGGGGCAGAAUAUCCAAGUGAAUCUGAAUAUUGGUGUAGAAGAAAAUGCAAGUCACAUCUUGAAGCAGUGUUUGCGCACCUACUACGAAGGCAGGGCCAACCCAGGGGAGCUCAUGCAAUGCACCAGAGCGACUGGAAGUGGUGGAGCCAGGAUCCACCUCUUCCCAGACCUCACUGAAGGGCUGGCAGUGAAGGCAAGAGUAUCUCACUGGAGAUCCCUUCCUACCCGUGGCCCUCUGAAGGUGUGGAAGUUGUGAUGGGUCACAUCAAGCUUCUCCAACUGGAAAGAGAAGACAGGCUUGUCACUACAUGCCACUGUAUUUUAUGAUCAACAGAAGAGCACCUGAAAUCCCAUCAGCAUAUCUUCAAAGGUUAUCCAUAAGGAGUAUAGUGGAGAGAAUGUUGAAUGCAGACUGUAGUGAGUGUCACAGGUUAUCUACUUGUCCACACAAGUGGAUACAGAUAAGAUACUGCACAGCACAAGCAAUAUCCCUCUUCAAAGAAGAGAAGGAUUCAAGCUGACUCUUAUCAACAGCUUACUGCAUAACUGAAGUCACUAUUGAAGGGUAUACGCUGAAAACAUUGUGAUCUUCCUGGACAACAAGAAUAUUACCUGUGAUUCCUUGCAGUCUGGGGACCUGGAAGGGGAUUGAGCACCCCAGAAAAGGGUGCAAAGGUUGGAGCCCUCAAGGUAAUGAGCCACGGGCUGGGGAAGCAAUGCACGAAGGAGCAAAAAUGCCUAGGUGUGUCAGGCCCGACGGUAAGGGUCCUAUCAUCAGUUACAAAAGGAGAAACAAAAAUGUGGUCAAUAGUAACAGUCUCUACUGUGUUACCUGGGUUGUGGGUUAACUGCUUCAUGUUCUUCCCUCUCAGAAACUUGUACUUCAGUAUGAUAUGGCACAAGGUUUUAUUUGUGUGCCAGCCCACAUCAGCC
This is a long non-coding RNA of Gallus gallus (chicken), 1715 nucleotides long. The record is from Ensembl. NCBI's taxonomy places the organism in Eukaryota, Metazoa, Chordata, Aves, Galliformes, Phasianidae.